This 845-nucleotide ribosomal RNA is filed under the name uncultured Bacillota bacterium. RNAcentral describes it as "bacterial SSU rRNA". It matches the Rfam family "Bacterial small subunit ribosomal RNA", at positions 74 to 896 of the family's 1533-position model. The record is from RNAcentral. Lineage: Bacteria; Bacillati; Bacillota.
UCCCCUUCGGGGGACAAGUAGAGUGGCGCACGGGUGAGUAACACGUAGGUAAUCUACCUUCGGGUGGGGAAUAACAAUCGGAAACGGUUGCUAAUACCGCAUAAUGCAGCGGCACCUAAUGGUGACAGUUGUUAAAGCGGGGGAUCGAAAGAUCUCGCGCCUGAAGAGGAGCCUGCGGCGGAUUAGCUAGUUGGUAGGGUAAUGGCCUACCAAGGCGACGAUCCGUAGCCGGCCUGAGAGGGCGGUCGGCCACACUGACACUGACAUACGGGUCAGACUCCUACGGGAGGCAGCAGUCGGGAAUUUUGGGCAAUGGGCGAAAGCCUGACCCAGCAACGCCGCGUGAAGGAUGAAAUCCCUCGGGAUGUAAACUUCGCAAGAACGGGAAGAAUUAGUGGAAGUUAAUACCUUCCAUGAUGACGGUACCGUUUGUAAGCUCCGGCUAACUCCGUGCCAGCAGCCGCGGUAAUACGGGGGGAGCAAGCGUUGUUCGGAUUUACUGGGCGUAAAGGGCGCGUAGGCGGCCUCCGCAGGUCAGUUGUGAAAUCUCCGAGCUUAACUCGGAAAGGUCAACUGAUACUGCGGGGCUAGAGUGCGGAAGGGGCAACUGGAAUUCUUGGUGUAGCGGUGAAAUGCGUAGAUAUCAAGAGGAACACCUGCGGCGAAGGCGGGUUGCUGGGCCGACACUGACGCUGAGGCGCGAAAGCUAGGGGAGCGAACGGGAUUAGAUACCCCGGUAGUCCUAGCCUUAAACGAUGAAUGCUUGGUGUCUGGGGUUAUAUAGUCCCCGGGUGCCGUCGCUAACGCUUUAAGCAUUCCGCCUGGGGAGUACGGUCGCAAGACUG